Podarcis lilfordi (Lilford's wall lizard) is the source of this 229-nucleotide non-coding RNA. NCBI's taxonomy places the organism in Eukaryota, Metazoa, Chordata, Lepidosauria, Squamata, Lacertidae. The record is from the annotation of a GenBank genome assembly.
GUUCUAUUUUGUUGGUUUUUGGAACUGGGGCCAUGAUUAAGAAGGACGGCCAGGGGCAUUUGUAUUGUGCCACUAGAGGUGAAAUUCUUGGACUGGCGCAAGAGGAACCAGAGCGAAAGCAUUUGCCAAGAAUGUUUUCAUUAAUCAAGAACAAAAGUCGGAGGUUCAAAGAUUAACAGAUACUGUCAUAGUUCCAACCAUAAACGAUGCUGACUAGCGAUCCGGCGGC